Molecule: ribosomal RNA, 305 nt
Filed under: uncultured bacterium
Lineage: Bacteria
Description: bacterial SSU rRNA
Rfam family: Bacterial small subunit ribosomal RNA
Source: RNAcentral
UCCUUCCUACGGGAGGCAGCAGUGAGGAAUAUUGGUCAAUGGCCGAAGGGCUGAACCAGCCAAGCCGCGUGAAGGAAUAAGGCCCUACGGGUCGUAAACUUCUUUAGUCAGGGAACAAAGGGAGCCACGCGUGGCGCUGUGAGUGUACCUGAAGGAUAAGCAUCGGCUAACUCCGUGCCAGCAGCCGCGGUAAUACGGAGGAGGCGAGCGUUAUCCGGAUUUAUUGGGUUUAAAGGGUGCGUAGGCGGUUUGUCAAGUCAGCGGUAAAAAUUCCGGGCUCAUCCCGGUCCCGCCGUUGAACCUAG